Long non-coding RNA from Maniola jurtina (meadow brown), 142 nucleotides. RefSeq lists it as uncharacterized. The record is from RefSeq and is a predicted model, not a curated record. The transcript has 4 exons. Lineage: Eukaryota; Metazoa; Arthropoda; Insecta; Lepidoptera; Nymphalidae.
GUAUGUAUUAUGUGUCGUGCCAACGAAAGGACCCGAACUCAGCUUGAUGUUGUGGAUACACAAUGUACCCACAACGCUGGUAUUCUGUUCGGGCCCAAACGAGGGAAGUUCUGGUAAUUAAUAUUAUGUACUUAAAAUUUAA